Long non-coding RNA from Carassius auratus (goldfish), 1340 nucleotides. RefSeq lists it as uncharacterized. Lineage: Eukaryota; Metazoa; Chordata; Actinopteri; Cypriniformes; Cyprinidae. The transcript has 6 exons. The record is from RefSeq and is a predicted model, not a curated record.
UGUGUUCACAACUCACUGCUGUGUGUGUGCACUUGCCUCUGUAAAUGGUACUGUUGGCAGCGGUCAUUCUUUGUUUAGUCCUGAGGUGUCCAAACCUGAUCCUGGAGGACCACUGCCCUGCAGAGUUUAGCUUCCACCCUUAUCAAACACACCUGAACAAGCUAAUCAAGGACCUUUAGAAACAUGUGUAUUGAAGCUAGUUGGGGCUAAAAUCUGCAGUAUGUUGGCCCUCCACAAGCCAUUAUUUUGCUUCACAGUAAUGUCUACUGAUAAACUGUCCACAAUAAGACCAUGAACUUGAAUUAAACAUGAUUAGUUUCAAUUUAAUGAUCAUUUUAUGGCUUAAAAGAUUGAUAAUGGCUGGGCUUCUGUGAGGACCUCUCGAGGUUUGUUGGGUUUCGCUCACUAAUGGUGUGUCUUCUCAAGACAUGCAGCUGCCCCGGGGUGAAUUGAGAGAGAAUGACAGAAACGGAAGAACGUAAAAUAAAAGCAGGGAGGGAGAAGGAACUAAUGCAUGGAGUGUACUCAGCUAUAGUAAGCUUGAUGCUGAUGGUUCCCUAGUCUUUAAUAACACACACCCAAACUAAACACACACACACCCAUAUAUUUCCCCUUAGCAUCUUGUCCUUGGGAAAGUCUUCAUCAGGGACAUUAUUUUUAUGGUCUCUGAAUGGACAGUGAGUGGCGCAGUAAUCAGACUCAAUCCGAUGACCAGCUCCCAAGCUGAGGCACAGAUAGAAAGAAAGAGAAAGGGAGAGAGAGAAUGAGAGAAGAGAAGGGAUGGGAAGGCACAGAGAGUGAAAGAUGACUGAAGGGAGGGAGGCAAAUCUGUGAGGUCUAUUUUCUGUAGUUUAAAGCAGAACCGUGAACUGCGUGAGUGUCUUCAAUGAGUAUAAACUGAAAUAUCAACAGGUUUUGCAAGAUAACCAAAAGCAUUGGCUGCAUUAUCUAAAGACAGCUAAUUUCCCUCAUAAAGUCGAGACAUGGAAAGGACAGAGAAUAAAGUGUCCUCCAUCUCCCCACAAAAACAGACAGUGAAAAAUAGAUCCAAGUCCACAGAGGAGGUACAGCAAGCCAAAAAGGCCUUUCAUACACCACAAAAAUCUCUCCCGGCUAAACCAGAAACCGAACAACUUGAGGAGACCUCAGAACUGCGUGCCUCAUCAGAGAUGAAAUGACUGUUGGACUUUGGGCUGGAAUUAUGGUUAAUAACAAGAGGAUGAUUCAGUGUUUUACGUGGUUUAGUUAGUAUUGAAGAAAACCAACAAAAGUGAUGUGUAGCUUUUUGAAUUGGUGUGAGUCUGUUUUGUUUGUGAAAUAAAUGCAAAGCUGGAUAUAUC